GACGAACGCCGGCGGCGUGCUUAACACAUGCAAGUCGAACGGUAAGGCCCUUCGGGGUACACGAGUGGCGAACGGGUGAGUAACACGUGGGUGAUCUGCCCUGCACUUCGGGAUAAGCCUGGGAAACUGGGUCUAAUACCGGAUAGGACCACUGCCUGCAUGGGUGGUGGUGGAAAGCUUUUGCGGUGUGGGAUGGGCCCGCGGCCUAUCAGCUUGUUGGUGGGGUGAUGGCCUACCAAGGCGACGACGGGUAGCCGGCCUGAGAGGGUGACUGGCCACACUGGGACUGAGAUACGGCCCAGACUCCUACGGGAGGCAGCAGUGGGGAAUAUUGCACAAUGGGCGCAAGCCUGAUGCAGCGACGCCGCGUGAGGGAUGACGGCCUUCGGGUUGUAAACCUCUUUCAGCACCGACGAAGCGCAAGUGACGGUAGGUGCAGAAGAAGGACCGGCCAACUACGUGCCAGCCGCCGCGGUAA
RNAcentral lists this ribosomal RNA (478 nucleotides) under uncultured bacterium. Its description in RNAcentral is "partial 16S ribosomal RNA". It matches the Rfam family "Bacterial small subunit ribosomal RNA", at positions 28 to 523 of the family's 1533-position model. The record is from RNAcentral.